GACAGAGGGUGCAAACGUUGUUCGGAAUUACUGGGCGUAAAGGGCGCGUAGGCGGGUCUGUAAGUCGAAUGUGAAAUCCCCGGGCUUAACCUGGGAAUGGCAUUCGAAACUGCAGAUCUUGGAUGCCUGAGAGGAUGGCGGAAUUCCCGGUGUAGAAGUGAAAUUCGUAGAUAUCGGGAAGAACACCUGAGGCGAAGGCGGCUGUCUGGCGGUGCAUCGACGCUGAGGCGCGAAAGCGUGGGGAGCAAACAGG
RNAcentral lists this ribosomal RNA (253 nucleotides) under uncultured bacterium. Its description in RNAcentral is "partial 16S ribosomal RNA". It matches the Rfam family "Bacterial small subunit ribosomal RNA", at positions 524 to 776 of the family's 1533-position model. The record is from RNAcentral.